ACUUGCUGAAAAUGAAAAGAGUCGAGGUUUUGCAGUGGCCCCGUCAAAGUCCAGACCUCAGCUUGAUUGAAGUGCUGUGACCUUAUGAAAGAAUUCCCCCCCAAACCUCAAUGAACUGGAGCAACACUAUAAAGACGAACCGGCCAAAAUUCCUCCAAUGAUGUGAGACUGAAGGUCGUGCAGUCAAUAAUGACUUCAUUGCUGUUCAAGGCGGUUCUACAAACUCUUUAUCAAUGUAUGUUUGUUUUAAGAUCACGCCAGACAGCUCACAAAGUCCAUGAUGAGGAAGCCAACCAUAGACAAGCUGACGUCUAACAGAGAGGCUGAUGUCAAUAACUUUGUCAAGUUCAUCACCAAAGACUCUAUUCAGAAGUCACUGGGCAUGUAUCUGGAGAUGCUUAAAAGAAGAAAGGCUUAGAGAGGGAAAACAUAUUUGCACACUAGAGUGACUUUGUUGCACCAGUUACAAAUGUGGACCAGAACAUGGGGUGAUCUGACAUUAAAGAGUGAGCAGUGUUUGGGGGAUAAAACACGUAGCAUUUACACCUUAAGGGUUUUAAAAUAAAAAUGCAUGAAGUUAGGGUGUGACUUUUUGUUUUUGUUUAAAGAACUGUACACUCAGGCAACCUGUCAAGCCCUCUCCAUCACUCAGCAUUAACUGCAGUGUGGUUACGUAAGCAAACUGCUAAUUGUUGCAAGAAAAAAGUCUCAGUCACAAAA
Long non-coding RNA from Oreochromis niloticus (Nile tilapia), 720 nucleotides. RefSeq lists it as uncharacterized. The record is from RefSeq and is a predicted model, not a curated record. The transcript has 2 exons. Lineage: Eukaryota; Metazoa; Chordata; Actinopteri; Cichliformes; Cichlidae.